AGCCCAAGGGGACAUCUUCUCUAUUGGAUUGAUGUGGAAGAUACCUCAGAGCAGAUACAACAAAUGGCCUCAUUGCCUGUGAUGUGAAGGGUUAUUUUCCCCCUCUGCUUAUGUGAAAGCAAAACUACCAUGGGAGAGACAAGCCUGGACACAUGGGAAAUUUCUAAAGACUUAUUCAAGGUAUGAUCUUAAAUAGUUUAGUCAAAGAUAUGUACACCCACUCAGGGCCUAAUCUAUUGUUUUUCUUGGCUUACCCAUCCUGGCAUGGCACAGGGAUCUGGAGAGAAUUGGGUCAGGAAGAAAGGAAAAUAAAAAUGGCUAGAUUUCUUGACAGUUUGAUGUAUGAUCCUUAAUAAAUGACAUAUAGCAUCCCACAUAAGCAUCUGUGUGUUUUAAGAUGAAAAUUACACUGUAUUUCUCACCUUAGCUGGGCAUAUUUUGAAGUCAUUAAAGUAAAUUGUACUUAAUUUUACUUCCAAUAUCAUUAACCUCAUAUCUACAGUUUAUUAAAAAUGGAAGUUUUCUAUUAGUGUUAUUUAAUUAAGUUCAAUAAAAGUAUGAUAAACAUUUACUAGGCAAGGACAUUACUCCAGAUGUUCAGAAUACAGAAGAGAAAAAUGAGAGCAUUCUACUCAUUAAGCUUACAAUUUAAUGAUAAGGAUGGGUCUUUACACAGAUAAGGAAGACAUAAUGAUCAUUGGAUCUUAGAUCUAGUGCUGGAAGGGACUCCAGAGUCCAACCUCCUCAUUUUACAGGUGAGGAAGCUGAGUACUAUGUAAGUGAAGUGACUUGCCCAAGAUCAGAUCAUAAAUCUGGGGAGCAUCAGCAGUGGGAUGUGAACCCAAGUAUUCUGACCCCAGAACUGGCACUUCUUCCUCUCUACCAAAUUGCAGCAGAUGAAGAGAGAUUCAGACAAUAUGAUAUGAAAAACUUUAGGAGGCAUGGACUCAUUUUAGCUGGAGGUGUUUAGGAAGGCUUCAUGGAGUAGCUGAAUCCUAAAGUGGACCUUGAAGGAGACAAAGGAUCUAAAGAGGAAGAAAUUGAAAUGUGUUAGAUAUUUACUCUAGGCAGCACAGCCUUCUUGGAUGUUGGAGAGAGUAGGAUAGCAUCAAGGAAUGGCUAGAAGUUCAAUCAGUACAGAAAAAUGAAAACAACAUUGAAAAAAGUCUGAAAAGGUAGAUUGGAGCCAAGGUAUGGAAGGUCUUGAAUGUCAAGCCAAUAAGCCUGCAUUUUUAUCCCACAAUGCUCAGUUCUUUUCUUUUUCUUUUUCAAUUUUCAUUAAAUUUUUCUCAAUUACAUGUAAGUAAGCAUUUCUAACAACCAUUAAAUUUUUUUUAAGUUUAUGUUGUCUUUCUCCUUCUCCCCUUACCCUUCAUUGAGAAGGCAAGCAGUUUUAUAAAAUUAUUCAAAUACAGUCAUGCAUAACAUUUCCAUAUUAGCUGUGUUGCAAAACAAAAUGUAGGCAAAACAAACAAACCAAGAAUAAAAAAGUGAAAAAAAUUCAUUUCAGUCUUCAUUCAGACUUCAUCAGGUCUUUCUCUGGACAUAGAUAGCAUUUUUCAUUGUAAGUCCUAUGGAAUUAUUGGGAUCACUGUGUUGCUCAGAAUAGCUAAGUAAUUCACAAAUGAUCAUUGUCAAUAUUUUUAUUACUGAGUAUAAUGUUCUACUGGUUCUGCCCAUUUCACCUUGCUUAAGUUCAUGUAGAUUCUCCCAGGUUUUUCUGAAAUCAUCCUGCUUGUCAUGCCUUAAUAAUAUUCCAUAAAUCUUCAUGUACCACAACUUGUUCAGCCAUUCCCCACUGAUGAGCAUACCUUCAGUUUCCAAUUCUUUGUCACCACAAAAAGAACUGCUAUAAAUAUUUUUGUAGGUGUAGGUCCUUUUCCUUUCCUGUUUUUUUUUAAUCUCUUUGGAACACAGAUCUACUAGUAUUGCUGGGUCAAAGGGUAUGUAGUUUUAUAUCCUUUUGGGCAUAGUUCUAAACUGCUCUCCAAAAUGACUCGAUCAGUUCACUAAUGAUGCAUUAGUGUCCCUAUUUUUCCACAUCACCCCCAUUGUUUGUCAUUUUCUUUUUCUACCACACUAGCCAGGCUGAUAGGUCAGUACCUCUGAGGUGUUUUAAUUUACAUUUCUUUAAUUAAUUUACUAGCCAAUUAUUUGCAGUGCUAGAUCAGCUUGUGGAGAUAUAUAACUUCUAAGAUCCUCUUCCUUUUCCCCUUUCAUAUUCUCCAUCUCUCACAUGUCUCAGUGACAUUUCACUAGUUCUCCUUACUUUAUUGAGUGAAGAAAGGCCUCCAUUGAUGGAGAAGCAAAGUGUUAUCUGUUAUCUCUACUCCCAGAUCUAUGUGUUGGAAGCUUUGAGCUUUAUUUUUGGUUGAGAGGAUGAAGGAUAAAAGAAAAGAAGCAAGGAGAGUCUUUUCUCAUGGCUGACUUUAACAAUUUGUUGGUUUGGGAGUAGCUAGGGGGUUCAGUGGAUUGAGUCCCUACAGAUGGGAGAUUCUGGGUUCAAAUCAGACCUCAGAUAUGUCAUAUCUGUACAAUCCUGGGCAAUUCACUUUAAUCCCCACUGCCUAACCUUUAUCAUUCUUCUGCCUUGGAACCAAUACACAGUAUAGAUUCUGAGACAGAAUGUAGGGGUAUUUUUUUUUGUUUUGUUUUGUUUUGUUUUAGUUGUUGUUUCUGUUCUCAUGGAAAUUGAGAUUUUAUCUGUCCUCUGAGAAACUUCCCAGGGGUUGGUUGGCUCACUUCUCCACAUGGGGAGCCAUUAGCUCAAAAGGGACUAACAAGGAAGAAAGACACCAUGAGUUGUCCCUGGCCUAAAUACCAGACAGCUUUCUAACUUUCAUGAGCCAGUCUCUACUCCAGCCUCUUAAGCCUUCUGAUUGUGUGUAUGCUGAGGGGGGAGAUGAAUAUGGUACAGAGGAUCGGCUGCAUAUGAACCCAGAAACCGCAACUAUACUUAAAAUUUCUAAAAGGUGAAGGAAUAUUCUGAAAAUUCAGGUAUCUAGGAGACUUACCAGUCAUCAGAGGUGCCAGUGAGUGGCAGCCAGAAUCAGUAACAGAGUCCACCAAAGAAGUAGUGGCUGAUGACGGAGGAAGUACUGGAGAAAAGUGAUGAAAAGAUAGUCACCAGAGGAUGAUGGCAGCUUUGGGGAUCAAGACCCUUUGCGAGAGAAAGUUCUGCUUAUCGCCUCCAGAAAAGGCAUUCCAUAAAAGAGCUUACACCUAAGAGGAACCUCAUGAAUACCACAGGAAGGCAGAAAACUACUUUUGGGGCCCAGAAUCAGGAAGUACCCCCUGGACCCCUGUGCUCUAUAUACAUUCUGAAGUCCUAAGAUGCCAAGAAGUAUGAAGAACAAAGCAUUCUCCUUUUUUUCAAAGCUUAAUUCUCUUAUAACAAUGAUGGAAGCUAAAAUGUAUAAGCUUCAUCUUUGGUAACAGUUUUUCUGCACAUGAAGAAAUAAGAAUGCUCAUAAAAACCUGUAAGGAAAAUACAAUGCAUUAUGAUAAUGUGCCUUGGUCUAAGUAGCUAAUCACUUUUUAUUAACACUUUUAGGUCCAGGGAGUUGGGAUUUCUCCAAGCUGACUGUCAGGGCAGGGAUUCUGGGACUCUGUAUUAGUAAUUAGCUUUAUAAGAUCUUGGCUCCUGGGGUGAUUCGAAUUAAAACAAAAUAAAAGCACAAAUUUCCAAAAA
Non-coding RNA from Monodelphis domestica (gray short-tailed opossum), 3691 nucleotides. The record is from RefSeq and is a predicted model, not a curated record. NCBI's taxonomy places the organism in Eukaryota, Metazoa, Chordata, Mammalia, Didelphimorphia, Didelphidae.